This 255-nucleotide ribosomal RNA is filed under the name uncultured bacterium. RNAcentral describes it as "partial 16S ribosomal RNA". It matches the Rfam family "Bacterial small subunit ribosomal RNA", at positions 524 to 777 of the family's 1533-position model. The record is from RNAcentral.
UACAGAGGGGGCAAGCGUUGUUCGGAAUUACUGGGCGUAAAGGGCGCGUAGGCGGCCUGCUAAGUCGAACGUGAAAUCCCCGGGCUCAACCCGGGAACUGCGUCCGAUACUGGGAGGCUUGAAUUCGGGAGAGGGAUGCGGAAUUCCAGGUGGUAGCGGUGAAAUGCGUAGAUAUCUGGAGGAACACCGGUGGCGAAGGCGGCAUCCUGGACCGGCAUUGACGCUGAGGAGCGAAAGCCAGGGGAGCAAAGCGGG